Molecule: unclassified non-coding RNA, 345 nt
Filed under: soil metagenome
Description: partial contains 5.8S ribosomal RNA, internal transcribed spacer 2, and large subunit ribosomal RNA
Rfam family: 5.8S ribosomal RNA (bases 1-119)
Source: RNAcentral
GAUGAAGAACGUAGCGAAAUGCGAUACGUAAUGUGAAUUGCAAAUUCAGUGAAUCAUCGAGUCUUUGAACGCACAUUGCGCCCCCUGGUAUUCCGGGGGGCAUGCCUGUCCGAGCGUCAUUGCUGCCCUCAAGCACGGCUUGUGUGUUGGGCCCCGUCCUCCGAUCCCGGGGGACGGGCCCGAAUGGCAGCGGCGGCACCGCGUCCGGUCCUCGAGCGUAUGGGGCUUUGUCACCCGCUCUGUAGGCCCGGCCGGCGCUUGCCGAUCAACCCAAAUUUUUAUCCAGGUUGACCUCGGAUCAGGUAGGGAUACCCGCUGAACUUAAGCAUAUCAAUAAGCGGAGGA